RNAcentral lists this long non-coding RNA (899 nucleotides) under Linum usitatissimum (flax). Its description in RNAcentral is "long non-coding RNA (LUSI_LNC006970)". The record is from RNAcentral. Lineage: Eukaryota; Viridiplantae; Streptophyta; Magnoliopsida; Malpighiales; Linaceae.
ACCACUUCUCUUCCUACCGGCAGUACUUCCUCAGGCACCUCCUCUCUUUCCACCACUGCUCACUAUAAUAAAUCCUUGUCGUCCUUUUGGAUUGUUGAUACUGGAGCAAGUAGUCAUAUAUGUUGUUCUGCUACUCUGUUUGAUACCUUGUUAGAUGCUUCACAUAUUUCUAUUAUUCUGCUUGAUGGAUCCGAUACUAUAGCUCGUCAAUUUGGUACAAUUAUCCUUCCUUGUAGUAUAACUUUGCACAAUAUUCUCUAUAUUUUAAGUUUUUCUUUUGACCUUCUAUUUGUAAGCAGCCUCACCAAAAAUUCUCCUGUCAGUACUUUGUUUACCUCUACUCAGUGCCAUAUUCAAGACCAACAAUCUCAGAUGACAAUUGGUUUACCGAAACUCCAUAAAGGUCUAUACCUUCUUCCUACUUCCCUAUCCACUAUUAUGCCUCCUUCUUCUUUCUCUCAUAUAGCAGCAUCUCAACUGAACUUGAACCCCAUUUUAUUAAUCUUUGACAUUGCAGAUUAGGUCAUCCUCCUUACGGUAUCUACAGCUUGUUCAUCAUUCACAUCCAUCCAUUUCACAUUCUUCUUCCACACAUUGUGUCACCUAUCAUCUUGCCGAACAAAAAGCUUUACCUUUUCAGCAUAGUAGUUCUAGAGCUUCUGUACUUUAUGAAUUUGGGAUCCUCUUUGUGCUCCUAUCUCAGAUGACGAUUGGUUUAUUUCCUUAUUGUUCUAGAUGAUCAUACUCGUUGUGUAUGGGUCUUUCUUAUGAAAAAUAAAGGGGAAACACAAGGCUUAAUUCAAUCUUUCUUUUCUAUGGUUCACAACCAAUUCUCUCUCACUGUUAAAAACAUCAGAACAUACCAGGGUCUUGAAUUUAAUAUGAUCAAUUUCUUUGCU